AAGCCAUGCAUGUCUAAGUAUAAGCAAUUAUACAGCGAAACUGCGAAUGGCUCAUUAUAUAAGUUAUCGUUUAUUUGAUAGCACCUUACUACUUGGAUAACCGUGGUAAUUCUAGAGCUAAUACAUGCUAAAAAUCCCGACUUCGGAAGGGAUGUAUUUAUUAGAUUAAAAACCAAUGNCCUUCGGGGCUUUCUGGUGAUUCAUGAUAACUUCUCGAAUCGCAUGGCCUUGCGCNGGCGAUGGUUCAUUCAAAUUUCUUCCCUAUCAACUUUCGAUGCGAAGGUCUUGUCUUCGCAUGGUUACAACGGGUAACGGAGGGUUAGGGCUCGACCCCGGAGAGGGAGCCUGAGAAAUGGCUACCACUUUUAAGGAAGGCAGCAGGCGCGCAAUUUACCCAAUCCCGACACGGGGAGGUAGUGACAAUAAAUACUGAUACAGGGCUCUUAUGGGUCUUGUAAUCGGAAUGAGUACAAUUUAAAUCCCUUAACGAGGAACAAUUGGAGGGCAAGUCUGGUGCCAGCAGCCGCGGUAAUUCCAGCUCCAAUAGCGUAUAUUAAAGUUGUUGUGGUUAAAAAGCUCGUAGUUGAACCUUGGGCCUGGCUGGCCGGUCCCCCUCACCGGGUGCACUGGUCCGGCCGGGUCUUUCCCUCUGUGGAACCGCAUACCCUUCACUGGGUGUGUCGGGGAAACAGGACUUUUACUUUGAAAAAAUUAGAGUGCUCCAGGCAGGCCUAUGCUCGAAUAGUACAGCAUGGAAUAAUAGAAUAGGACGUGUGGUUCUAUUUUGUUGGUUUCUAGGACCGCCGUAAUGAUUAAUAGGGACAGUCGGGGGCAUCAGUAUUCAGCUGUCAGAGGUGAAAUUCUUGGAUCUGCUGAAGACUAACUACUGCGAAAGCAUUUGCCAAGGAUGUUUUCAUUGAUAAGGAACGAAAGUUAGGGGAUCGAAGACGAUCAGAUACCGUCGUAGUCUUAACCAUAAACUAUGCCGACUAGGGAUCGGACGAUGUUAUUUUUUUUGACUCGUUCGGCACCUUUCGAGAAAG
This 1043-nucleotide ribosomal RNA is filed under the name Ceratocystis fimbriata. RNAcentral's name for it is "SSU rRNA". It matches the Rfam family "Eukaryotic small subunit ribosomal RNA", at positions 46 to 1098 of the family's 1831-position model. Lineage: Eukaryota; Fungi; Ascomycota; Sordariomycetes; Microascales; Ceratocystidaceae. The record is from RNAcentral.